CAAUAGCGUAUAUUAAAGUUGUUGCGGUUAAAAAGCUCGUAGUUGGAUUUCUGCCGAGGACGACCGGUCCGCCCUCUGGGUGAGCAUCUGGCUCGGCCUGGGCAUCUUCUUGGAGAACGUAUCUGCACUUGACUGUGUGGUGCGGUAUUCAGGACUUUUACUUUGAGGAAAUUAGAGUGUUUCAAGCAGGCAUACGCCUUGAAUACAUUAGCAUGGAAUAAUAAGAUAGGACCUCGGUUCUAUUUUGUUGGUUUCUAGAUCUGAGGUAAUGAUUAAUAGGGACAGUUGGGGGCAUUCGUAUUUCAUUGUCAGAGGUGAAAUUCUUGGAUUUAUGAAAGACGAACUUCUGCGAAAGCAUUUGCCAAGGAUGUUUUCAUUGAUCAAGAACGAAAGUUAGGGGAUCGAAGACGAUCAGAUACCGU
This 422-nucleotide ribosomal RNA is filed under the name uncultured eukaryote. RNAcentral describes it as "SSU rRNA". It matches the Rfam family "Eukaryotic small subunit ribosomal RNA", at positions 592 to 1018 of the family's 1831-position model. The record is from RNAcentral.